Long non-coding RNA from Leucoraja erinaceus (little skate), 992 nucleotides. RefSeq lists it as uncharacterized. The transcript has 3 exons. The record is from RefSeq and is a predicted model, not a curated record. NCBI's taxonomy places the organism in Eukaryota, Metazoa, Chordata, Chondrichthyes, Rajiformes, Rajidae.
UCAUUACACCACAUGGUUUGACUGGGGCAGUCAUAGAUUCGGAAUAUCAUUGCCUGCCCAGGACUGCUACAAUAUGCAAAAUCAGUUUAUUGAUUAUGAUCCAUAAAGGUCCUCGAGUUAAAAUAGCGAGAAUCCCAAAGAUGUACAGCAUCAAGUCAUGGUUUGGAAGGAAGGACUGUGUUUCAUACAUUAACUCUCCUUGACAUCUGGCAACCUUUAAAACAAAAAUCCUUUUGGUUUCAUUCCCACUUUUCAAGUUUGACAUUAAUGGACACUGCACUGAAAGUUCAAAGUGAUCAUAAGUUUUUUUUUUUACAGAUUAAUUAUUCAUGGAUAGAUAUACUACUCCACAGUCUGAAACCACAUUUCCAAUACCCUAAAGUGAGCUAGGCAGACAUGUACUAUGUCCUUGGAUAAGGUAUUGCCAUACUACAUAUUCCAGUCCUUACUAGCAGGUCACAAAUCAAAUUUCAAUGAGUUGCUGGAUGUAUCGUUGUUCCUCCCCAAACUUACACUCUCUUAAUCCGAAAGGCUGCUCUAACUGCCUCUACCUAGGCCCUUGAAGGGUCCAUGGUGGGACAGGCAGGCAUGAAGGAGCCACACCUGUGAAACUCCUCUGGAAACCUUAGUUUAGUUUAGAGAUACAGCGCGGAAACGGGACCUUUGGCCCACUGAGACCACGCUGACCAGUGAUCCCCACAUAUCCUACAAACAUUAGGGACAAUUUACACUUAUACCAAGCAAAUUAACCUACAAACCUGUAUGUCUUUGGAGUGUGGGAGGAAACCGGAGAUCUCGGAGAAAACUCACUCAGUCACGGGGAGAACGAACAAACUCGAUACAGACAGCACCCGAAGUCGGGAUCGAACCUGGGUCUAUGUCGAUGCAACAGCUGUAAGGUUUACUCUAGCCACGUGUCCAUCUUUACCACGUGUCAGAGGUUUUUAAAAAAGUAUUUGAAUGUCGCCAAUAUUCAGCAGCUUUUAAUACUU